CCAGACUCCUACGGGAGGCAGCAGUGGGGAAUAUUGGGCAAUGGGCGCAAGCCUGACCCAGCAAUGCCGCGUGAAGGAAGAAGGCCCUCGGGUUGUAAACUUCUUUUAUCAGGGACGAAGGAUGUGACGGUACCUGAUGAAUAAGCUCCGGCUAACUACGUGCCAGCAGCCGCGGUAAUACGUAGGGAGCAAGCGUUAUCCGGAUUUACUGGGUGUAAAGGGCGCGUAGGCGGGAUGGCAAGUCAGAUGUGACAUCCAGGGGCUCAACCCCUGAACUGCAUUUGAAACUGUCGUUCUUGAGUACUGGAGAGGUUGACAGAAUUCCUAGUGUAGCGGUGAAAUGCGUAGAUAUUAGGAGGAACACCAGUGGCGAAGGCGGCCUGCUGGACUGCAACUGACGUUGAGGCUCGAAGGCGUGGGGAGCAGACAGGAUUAGAUACCCGAGUA
This 447-nucleotide ribosomal RNA is filed under the name uncultured bacterium. RNAcentral describes it as "bacterial SSU rRNA". It matches the Rfam family "Bacterial small subunit ribosomal RNA", at positions 331 to 792 of the family's 1533-position model. The record is from RNAcentral.